RNAcentral lists this ribosomal RNA (639 nucleotides) under Enoplus sp. PPA7. RNAcentral's name for it is "eukaryotic LSU rRNA". It matches the Rfam family "Eukaryotic large subunit ribosomal RNA", at positions 406 to 900 of the family's 3401-position model. Lineage: Eukaryota; Metazoa; Nematoda; Enoplea; Enoplida; Enoplidae. The record is from RNAcentral.
CACUCAGAAGGAAACGGACGGAGCUGAUAAGCCGCUUGUCAGAUUCAGUUUGCCAGGGCCUGCAGUUUUAGCGUAGGUCUAGGUGAAUGCAUUUCUGGCGAGUGCGCGCUGCGACCGAUUUCUGCGCUGGCUAAGGAUUGUUGAUUGCCGGCCGGGCCUUCGGGUCCGGUGUCCCGUCUUCGAUUCCAGGCCGGGUCGCGGAGAUCGUGCGACUGCCGUGCUAGAUCUCAGACAGCUUUCUGGGGCGCUGGCUAAACUAUUGGGUCCUACAUGUAGAGCUCGAUGAAUUCCAGUGUCUAUCUGAAGAGCAGAGUCUGACUAGUGCGAAUGGUCUGCGGCGUCUGUGUCAGCCACCCGUCCGACCCGUCUUGAAACACGGACCAAGGAGUCUAACAUGUGCGCAAGUCAUUGAGUGGCAAACUCAAAGGCGCAAUGAAAGUGAAGGCUAGUUCGGCUGGCCUAGGUGAGAUCCUUGGGCUUCGGUCUGAGGCGCAUCACCGCCCCGUCUUGAGAGUAAUGUCUCUAGGGCGGAGGAAGAGCGUACAUGUUGGGACCCGAAAGAUGGUGAACUAUGCUUGAGCAGGACGAAGCCAGAGGAAACUCUGGUGGAGGUCCGUAGCGGUUCUGACGUGCAAAUCG